RNAcentral lists this transfer RNA (87 nucleotides) under Candidatus Staskawiczbacteria bacterium RIFCSPHIGHO2_12_FULL_38_11. RNAcentral describes it as "tRNA-Leu". It matches the Rfam family "tRNA". From Rfam's summary of the family: Transfer RNA (tRNA) molecules are approximately 80 nucleotides in length. Their secondary structure includes four short double-helical elements and three loops (D, anti-codon, and T loops). Further hydrogen bonds mediate the characteristic L-shaped molecular structure. tRNAs have two regions of fundamental functional importance: the anti-codon, which is responsible for specific mRNA codon recognition, and the 3' end, to which the tRNAs corresponding amino acid is attached (by aminoacyl-tRNA synthetases). tRNAs cope with the degeneracy of the genetic code in two manners: having more than one tRNA (with a specific anti-codon) for a particular amino acid; and 'wobble' base-pairing, i.e. permitting non-standard base-pairing at the 3rd anti-codon position. Lineage: Bacteria; Candidatus Staskawicziibacteriota. The record is from RNAcentral.
GCCGCGGUGGCGGAAUUGGCAGACGCACGGCGUUCAGGUCGCCGCGAUCGCAAGAUCAUGAGAGUUCAAAUCUCUCCCGCGGCACAA